AACGAACGCUGGCGGCAUGCCUAACACAUGCAAGUCGAACGAUCCCUUCGGGGAUAGUGGCGCACGGGUGCGUCACGCGUGGGAACCUGCCCUUAGGUUCGGCAUAACUCAGAGAAAUUUGAGCUAAUACCGGAUAAUGUCUUCGGCCCAAAGAUUUAUCGCCCUUGGAUGGGCCCGCGUUGGAUUCGCUAGUUGGUGGGGUAAUGGCCUAACAAGGCGACGAUCCAUAGCUGGUCUGAGAGGAUGAUCAGCCACACUGGGACUGAGACGCGGCCCAGACUCCUACGGGAUGCAGCAGUGGGGAAUAUUGGACAAUGGGCGGAAGCAUGAACCAGCAAUGCCGCGUGAGUGAUGAAGGCCUUAGGGUUGUAAAGCGCUUGUAACCGGGAUGAUAAUGACAGUACCGGGAGAAUAAGCCCCGGCUAACUCCGUG
Molecule: ribosomal RNA, 433 nt
Filed under: uncultured bacterium
Lineage: Bacteria
Description: partial 16S ribosomal RNA
Rfam family: Bacterial small subunit ribosomal RNA
Source: RNAcentral